Molecule: long non-coding RNA, 285 nt
Organism: Ostrea edulis (European flat oyster)
Lineage: Eukaryota; Metazoa; Mollusca; Bivalvia; Ostreida; Ostreidae
Exons: 3
Source: RefSeq, a predicted model, not a curated record
GGGGGGGGGACUCCGUGACUCCAAAGUCGAUAGAUCUGCCGCAUUGCUCAAGCUGCCAUUGAUUCUGACAAGACAAUACAUUGAGAAACACAAAAGUUGUGUCCAGAUUAAGACAGAUGUAAAGAAAGAGUUGAAAGAUGUGUUCUGAAGUAAGACAGCCGUACCCCUGCUUUCCAAGGAACCAAACAAUUACUUUCCUUGUAUUGGCAUGGUGAAAAAUGGGGAGUGUCCAGAAAAUGACAAAGACCUUCAGAAUGUCAUCAGUGAUAUUGUUGCAAUUGAAUG